AGCUUACCAUGAUAGCAAAUGAUUCUUGACAGUGCUAAGGUGAAUUAUUUCUAUACUCUUGGCAUCCCAGAAACCCGAUUAGUGGGGGAUGGGGGUCAAAUGGUAACCUUACAUCAAAGAAAUAAAUGUUUUGGGGGAGGAGGCUGAAAGUGAGCUUGAAGCCAAUCUCCCCACCCAAACCUUCAAGGGAUCAUGUCAUUGUUGGAAGUGACUUUAAGAAAUCAUCUAGUCCAACUCCAUUUUACCGAGAGGGAAUCUGAGGAUAAGUGGUUAGCCCAAGAUCAUAAAGGCAAGCUGUUUACCUCUUGCAGAGAUGAUGCUAAACUGAGGUGAAGUCAAAUGGAGCUGUCUCUUAGAGACAGAAAGGAUCUUAGACAGCCUUGCGUAAGCCUUUCAUUUUUUUCAAGAGGAAAUAGAGACCCAGAAUUAGUAUCAGAGCAGGAGUAAAGGGCCAGGUUUCCAGUUCCUUUCUUGUCAUAUGAUUGACAUUUGGGCCCCUCAGGAGCGCUGGGGUCCAGGUCCUUCCGGGUUUCAUGACUCAGGAAAAGCAGGGCUCGCAAGGAUCCAGCAUCCUUUCAACACAGUCCUCUGCCCACCCCUUGGCCUCUUGGUUGAAGUGACUUAACUAGGAGAUGUCACUUCAAAUCCC
RNAcentral lists this long non-coding RNA (649 nucleotides) under Phascolarctos cinereus (koala). RNAcentral describes it as "lncRNA (ENSPCIG00000028359.2)". The record is from RNAcentral. Lineage: Eukaryota; Metazoa; Chordata; Mammalia; Diprotodontia; Phascolarctidae.